CGCGUAUGCAACCUACCUUAUUCAGGGGGAUAGCCCGAAGAAAUUCGGAUUAACACCGCAUAAAAUCACAGUCCAGCAUUGGAUAAUGAUCAAAUAUUUAUAGGAAUAAGAUGGGCAUGCGUGUCAUUAGCUAGUUGGCGGGGUAACGGCCCACCAAGGCGACGAUGACUAGGGGAUCUGAGAGGAUGACCCCCCACACUGGUACUGAGACACGGACCAG
This 220-nucleotide ribosomal RNA is filed under the name uncultured bacterium. RNAcentral's name for it is "partial 16S ribosomal RNA". It matches the Rfam family "Bacterial small subunit ribosomal RNA", at positions 114 to 334 of the family's 1533-position model. The record is from RNAcentral.